AUGCCCUAAUUCACUUUUAUUUUGCAAAAAUUGGGAGCUCUCUUCUCUCUUGAGCUGUUGCUCCCACUUCUCUCUAACUCGUGCGUCGGUCUCUUCUCUCUUGAGCCGUCGUUCGCUUCAUGUCGGCGCCCCUCGCACGCCGCCUCCUUUCUCACUCGUGCGUCGGUCUCGCCUCCUCCUCUCUCUGGUCUCCACCUCGCCGCUAGUCCAGCACGCAGCACCCGGCGGCGCCAGAACUCACAGCAGGCAGCAGUAAACCAACAUCGCAUUUGCGCCGCCAAGCCCGUGAUAGCACCGGCCCCCAUCUCCAUUACUCUGAAUCUCAACUAUUGUGCCGUCUUAUAGCCUCAGACGCACAGCUCCUUCGGCUACCUAGACGCAACAGAAGAAAGAUAUGAUGCGAAAGAUCCUUGAUUCAUCAAUCCAGCGGCUUCAUAGAGGAUUUGCGGCUAAAUCCACAGCGUCCCGUGAUCUCGAUGGGGAAAAGAUGCAAUUUACACGCACGCCCACGAUUGAUUUCAGCUGCAUACGCUGCGCAGAUGAUGCCGUUCGUUUGUUUCGCGAAAUGAUUGCAUUGUCGCCGCAGCCUUCCAUCCCUGCAUACAACAAGCUGUUGAGUAUUACGGUCAAAUUGGGGGAAUACCGAGUUGCCUUCUACAUGUUCGACAAAAUGCGCCAAUGGGGCUCCCAAUUAAAUUUGUGCUCGAUGGGUAUCGCAAUCAAUUGCUGCUGCGUUCUACAUCGCGUAGACUUAGGGUUUGCGAUUUUGGGCAGCUUGUUCAAGCUCGGUUGCGCACCGAAUCUCACGAUCUUCAGCACUCUUUUGAAAGGGCUGGUUUUAGUUGGCAAGAUUGGUGAGGCAGAAGCGUUGUUCAGAAAGAUUAUGGCUUUUAAACUGUGCAAUCCCAACGAUGUUAUGAUUCUAACCGUGAUGAACGGUCUGUGCAAGAACGGGCAAAGUCGAACUGCCCGUGAUCUUCUUCAGGUAAUGGAGAAAACUAGCCUUAAGCCUAAUGUCAAAGCUUAUAGUGCCGUGGUUGAUGGUUUGUGCAAGAAUUCAAACGUUGAUGAUGCUAUGUUGCUUGUUUCUGAAAUGAUUAAAAAGGGCGUUUCGCCCAACAUUAUUACGUAUAACUCGAUUAUUCAGGGCUUGUGCAACUUAGGUAGAUGGGAUGAGGUGAAAUACUUGUUAUCAGUUGAAAUGGUAGAUCGUAAAGUGCCUUUAGAUUUGAUCACUUUUAAUACAUUGGUCGAUGUGUUGUGCAAGAAGGGGAAGUUGGAUGAGGCUGAGGAUAUUUUGCAACUUAUGGUAAGAAUAAAUGUUGGUCCUGAUAUAUUCACAUACACUUCUCUGAUAUGUGGAUAUUGCUCGCGGGGGAGAGUGGAAAAGGCGAAAGAAGCAUUCAACUCCAUAGCUAAGAAGGGUUUUAGGCAUAACAUCAUGAGUUAUACCAAUAUGAUAAAUGGAUAUUGCAAGAUCAGGGAUGUGGAUGAAGCCCGGCUUCUCUUUGAUGAGAUUCCGAAGAUUGGGUUGAAGCAUAAAUCCGUUUCUUAUAACAUCAUGAUACAUGGGUAUUUCGGUGCAGAUAGAUUUGAUGAUGGGUGGAGGCUUUUCAACGAGAUGGAAGCUUCACAAGUACGUCCUGAUUUGCAUACUUAUAACAUCUUGAUGGAAGGUUUAUGUCGGAAUCUGCAAGUUACUGAUGCAAUCCAAAUUCUGAGAGUGAUGAAGGAGAAAGGUGUUGGUUGUGAUAUGGUGACUUAUAAUAUCCUCAUGAAUGGUCUGUGCAAGGCUGGAGAAUUUGAUGCUGCGCGGAAUCUUCUAGACCUAAUCCCAUCUGAGGGCUUGCAACUCAAUGUUCCAAUAUAUACCACUAUUAUUGGCUCUUUUUACCAAGAAGGGCGUGAUGAGGAGGGAAAGUCUCUGCUUCUCGAAAUGGAGAAGAAGGGUAUCCCGCCUAAUUAUGUGACCUACAACAGUAUCACCUCGAGUUUAAUGAAGAGAAACGAGCUUCGCAAGGCAAUGCCAUUCUUCGAGGAAAUGUGCAAGAGAGGAUUCUCGGCCUCCCGAGAAUUUGCAGAAGUGAUGAAAUCAUGCGACGAAUGCUUGUCUUUAUUUUAAGUGUUUUUUUUUUGUGCGUGUGUUGGCCAAGGCAAGUGGUCGACUGGUCGUGGGUUCGAGUCCAUCAUGGGUAAGAACCUAAAGAAGCCUCCAGAAACACGCAGAAAAGCACGCAGUGAGAGUGAAACGGGAUGGAGAGAUACCAGAGGGUGGUGAAGCCCAAACCGGAGCAACCCGUUAACGAAAAUGAAAUCCGAGUCACAGCUCAG
Salvia miltiorrhiza (redroot sage) is the source of this 2331-nucleotide RNA transcript. It is a transcript of the gene named pentatricopeptide repeat-containing protein At1g62930, chloroplastic-like, with no coding region annotated. NCBI's taxonomy places the organism in Eukaryota, Viridiplantae, Streptophyta, Magnoliopsida, Lamiales, Lamiaceae. The transcript is spliced from 4 exons. The record is from RefSeq and is a predicted model, not a curated record.